GGAUGUGAGGGCGAUCUGGCUGCGACAUCUGUCACCCCAUUGAUCGCCAGGGUUGAUUCGGCUGAUCUGGCUGGCUAGGCGGGUGUCCCCUUCCUCCCUCACCGCUCCAUGUGCGUCCCUCCCGAAGCUGCGCGCUCGGUCGAAGAGGACGACCAUCCCCGAUAGAGGAGGACCGUUCUUCGGUCAAGGUAUACGAGUAGCUGCGCUCCCCUGCUAGAACCUCCAAACAAGCUCUCAAGAGAUGAUAUUAUAAUUCCUUGUAAGACAAAGAAAGGUAUUUCCAUUGUCCUAUGGUUUCUAAACAGCCAUUAUUUUUUCUUUUGUAACUUGUUCUAAU
Molecule: small nuclear RNA, 337 nt
Filed under: Castor canadensis (American beaver)
Lineage: Eukaryota; Metazoa; Chordata; Mammalia; Rodentia; Castoridae
Description: 7SK RNA (ENSCCNG00000031730.1)
Rfam family: 7SK RNA
About the family: 7SK was discovered as an abundant small nuclear RNA in the mid-70s but a possible function has only recently been suggested. Two independent studies have found that 7SK RNA binds the CDK9/cyclin T complex (known as elongation factor P-TEFb).
Source: Rfam by way of RNAcentral